Molecule: long non-coding RNA, 632 nt
Filed under: Heterocephalus glaber (naked mole-rat)
Lineage: Eukaryota; Metazoa; Chordata; Mammalia; Rodentia; Bathyergidae
Description: lncRNA (ENSHGLG00100052571.1)
Source: RNAcentral
AAACCAUCAUAGAUCAACCCCAACAGAUGAAGAAAUGCCUCCUAGAUUAGGAAGGCCCGCGUCUGAAAGCACCGCUCUGCUGCUGUGGAGGUCGUCACCGCAGCUCCUCACCCUCGGACACGGACUCUCGCGGGCUGCAGCGAGCCAUCGGGCCUUCAGCCUGGGCCUUGCCCUGUGGCUUCCGGCUUCUCGCCCUGAGCAGCUGCAGACUGAGGAGCUCCUCCCAUCCUGCAGAGUGCAGACAGACACUGUGGACGCUCCGGGCUCUGAACGCCUAAGAAAUCGCCUUGCCCAAAUAAGUACACAAGCUUCUCCCCUGGUGGUUGACUUCAAGCUCUCUGAGUGACAUCAGUGAACACAUACUUGGAAAGAUAUGUGCAGCAGCAGCACAUAAUUAUGUACUAUUUCUGCCACACAAAUACAGUAAACAGAUCAGCCUGGCCCUUUCAUCUCUUGCAUGAUGUGAGGACACAGCGUUUGCCCCUCUUCUCUUGCCGUACAAGGACACAGCCACAAGCCACCAUCUUGAAACCCAGAGUAAGCCUUUGCCAGAGACUGAAUGUGCUGGCUGGACCUUGAACUUCUAAGCCUCUAGAACUGUGAGAAAUAAAAUUCUAUUAUUUAUAUAUUAU